Molecule: transfer RNA, 69 nt
Filed under: Rattus norvegicus (Norway rat)
Lineage: Eukaryota; Metazoa; Chordata; Mammalia; Rodentia; Muridae
Rfam family: tRNA
About the family: Transfer RNA (tRNA) molecules are approximately 80 nucleotides in length.
Source: Rfam by way of RNAcentral
GGAGAUUUAGCUCAGUGGUAGAGCGCUUGCCUAGCAAGCACAAGACCCUGGGUUCGGUCCCCAGCUCCG